AAUUGUUUAAGUAGUUUAAUUUAGAAUAAUAAUUUGUGGAAUUAUAGGUAUUAUGAGUAAGUCUUAAA
This 68-nucleotide transfer RNA is filed under the name Linshcosteus costalis. RNAcentral's name for it is "tRNA-His". Lineage: Eukaryota; Metazoa; Arthropoda; Insecta; Hemiptera; Reduviidae. The record is from RNAcentral.